AAAUCUAUUUAAAACUCUCUUAGUCUCACCCAUAUGGCUAGCCAAAGCAUGAAGUGAAGAGGAAAGGAAAGAACACAAACCCUAGGUGGGAAAAUUGAAGAAAAAGUGUGGGAUUUCAAGGGAUUAAGCUAAUAAAGGUAAAAUUUUAUGAUUUUAUCUUGUGAUUUACACUACCCAUGCUUUCUUUUUCAUUUUCCAUGCUUAGAACUCAAGUUUGCAUGAUGAACCCAUGCUGGCCGAAUUUGAAAGGAGAGGUUUCGAGCAUUGAUUUUGCUAGAUUUCAAGCUAAUUAAGUGUUUUUGGUUGUUUGGUAAUGGAAAGUAUGAAAAUCUUGCAAGGAAUCACUUUGUUUUUCACAAACCCACAA
Molecule: long non-coding RNA, 367 nt
Filed under: Theobroma cacao (cacao)
Lineage: Eukaryota; Viridiplantae; Streptophyta; Magnoliopsida; Malvales; Malvaceae
Description: long non-coding RNA (TCAC_LNC001984)
Source: RNAcentral